RNAcentral lists this ribosomal RNA (332 nucleotides) under Lactiplantibacillus plantarum. Its description in RNAcentral is "bacterial SSU rRNA". It matches the Rfam family "Bacterial small subunit ribosomal RNA", at positions 1 to 307 of the family's 1533-position model. Lineage: Bacteria; Bacillati; Bacillota; Bacilli; Lactobacillales; Lactobacillaceae. The record is from RNAcentral.
AUUUGAGAGUUUGAUCCUGGCUCAGGACGAACGCUGGCGGCGUGCCUAAUACAUGCAAGUCGAACGAACUCUGGUAUUGAUUGGUGCUUGCAUCAYGAUUUACAUUUGAGUGAGUGGCGAACUGGUGAGUAACACGUGGGAAACCUGCCCAGAAGCGGGGGAUAACACCUGGAAACAGAUGCUAAUACCGCAUAACAACUUGGACCGCAUGGUCCGAGCUUGAAAGAUGGCUUCGGCUAUCACUUUUGGAUGGUCCCGCGGCGUAUUAGCUAGAUGGUGGGGUAACGGCUCACCAUGGCAAUGAUACGUAGCCGACCUGAGAGGGUAAUCGG